RNAcentral lists this ribosomal RNA (445 nucleotides) under uncultured bacterium. RNAcentral's name for it is "bacterial SSU rRNA". It matches the Rfam family "Bacterial small subunit ribosomal RNA", at positions 343 to 791 of the family's 1533-position model. The record is from RNAcentral.
AGGAGGCAGCAGUGGGGAAUCUUGCACAAUGGGCGAAAGCCUGAUGCAGCGACGCCGCGUGGGGGAUGAAGCAUUUCGGUGUGUAAACCCCUUUCGAUCCGGACGAAUGCCUCGCAAGAGGAGUGACGGUACGGAUAUAAGAAGCCCCGGCUAACUACGUGCCAGCAGCCGCGGUAAGACGUAGGGGGCCAGCGUUGUUCGGAAUUACUGGGUGUAAAGGGUUCGUAGGCGGUGUGGCAAGUUGGGAGUGAAAUCUCUGGGCUUAACCCAGAGACUGCUUCCAAAACUGCUGUGCUUGAGUGUGAGAGAGGCGCGUGGAAUUGCAGGUGUAGCGGUGAAAUGCGUAGAUAUCUGCAGGAACACCCGUGGCGAAAGCGGCGCGCUGGAUCACUACUGACGCUGAGGAACGAAAGCUAGGGGAGCAAACAGGAUUAGAUACCCCGGU